This 75-nucleotide transfer RNA is filed under the name Ruminococcus flavefaciens. Its description in RNAcentral is "tRNA-Thr". It matches the Rfam family "tRNA". Rfam says of the family: Transfer RNA (tRNA) molecules are approximately 80 nucleotides in length. Their secondary structure includes four short double-helical elements and three loops (D, anti-codon, and T loops). RNAcentral also lists the same sequence under 4 other names. The record is from RNAcentral. Lineage: Bacteria; Bacillati; Bacillota; Clostridia; Eubacteriales; Oscillospiraceae.
GCCGACGUAGCUCAGGGGUAGAGCACUUCCUUGGUAAGGAAGAGGUCACGAGUUCAAAUCUCGUUGUCGGCUCCA